Molecule: ribosomal RNA, 253 nt
Filed under: uncultured bacterium
Lineage: Bacteria
Description: partial 16S ribosomal RNA
Rfam family: Bacterial small subunit ribosomal RNA
Source: RNAcentral
UACGUAGGGGGCUAGCGUUGUCCGGAAUCAUUGGGCGUAAAGCGCGUGUAGGCGGUCCGGUAAGUCCGCUGUGAAAGUCGGGGGCUCAACCCUCGGAUGCCGGUGGAUACUGUCGGGCUUGAGUACGGAAGAGGCGAGUGGAAUUCUUGGUGUAGCGGUGAAAUGCGUAGAUAUCAAGAGGAACACCUGAGGUGAAGACGGGUUGCUGGGCUGACACUGACGCUGAGGCGCGAAAGCCAGGGGAGCAAACGGG